Molecule: ribosomal RNA, 752 nt
Filed under: uncultured archaeon
Lineage: Archaea
Description: bacterial SSU rRNA
Rfam family: Archaeal small subunit ribosomal RNA
Source: RNAcentral
GGAUAACCUACCCUAAGGUGGGAGAUAACCCCGGGAAACUGGGGAUAAUACCCCAUAGUCUAUGGAAGCUGGAACGCUCUAUAGUUCAAAGAUUUAUCGCCUUAGGAUGGGUCUGCGGCCGAUUAGGUAGUUGUUGGGGUAACGGCCCAACAAGCCUUUGAUCGGUACGGGUUGUGGGAGCAAGAGCCCGGAGAUGGAUUCUGAGACACGAAUCCAGGCCCUACGGGGCGCAGCAGGCGCGAAAACUUUACAAUGCGGGAAACCGUGAUAAGGGAACUCCGAGUGCCCGUAAACGCGGGCUGUCCAUCUGCUUAAGAAACAGGUGAAGAAAGGGCCGGGCAAGACCGGUGCCAGCCGCCGCGGUAAUACCGGCGGCUCGAGUGGUGGCCACUAUUACUGGGCUUAAAGCGUCCGUAGCUUGGUUGUUAAGUCUCUUGGGAAAUCUGUCGGCUUAACCGACAGGCGUUUAAGGGAUACUGGCAAUCUAGGGACCGGGAGAGGUGAGAGGUACUCCAGGGGUAGGAGUGAAAUCCUGUAAUCCUUGGGGGACCACCUGUGGCGUAGGCGUCUCACCAGAACGGCUCCGACAGUGAGGGACGAAAGCUGGGGGAGCAAACCGGAUUAGAUACCCGGGUAGUCCCAGCCGUAAACGAUGCGCGUUAGGUGUAUCGGUGACCACGAGUCACCGAGGUGCCGAAGGGAAACCGUGAAACGUGCCGCCUGGGAAGUACGGUCGCAAGGCUGAAACUUAA